This is a long non-coding RNA of Oncorhynchus nerka (sockeye salmon), 972 nucleotides long. RefSeq lists it as uncharacterized. The transcript has 4 exons. The record is from RefSeq and is a predicted model, not a curated record. NCBI's taxonomy places the organism in Eukaryota, Metazoa, Chordata, Actinopteri, Salmoniformes, Salmonidae.
CCCAGUCAGUCUCAGAGGACAAAUCCGACCUGUGUUGUCCUUGUUGUUAUUCCUCUCAGAGGUCACCGAGAAAGCUGUAGACACAGGUGCCAACCUCAUGCUGUCAGUUGAAACACAGACUAUUUUAGUAUUUUGAAGCCGCUGUGAAAUGGAAGAAUAUUUUCAGCAGCUGCUGGGUUCCUGGUUCGAAUCAACCAAGAUGAUGAAACCUGAAGAUGGAACAAAUUACAUGAGAAGGUGGCCCAGAGAAAGCCAACUGUUCUCAACCUCUCCAUUGCCCCAUUCUUCCAAGAGCUCACUGACUUUGAAUGAAGACCUCUAGUGAGUUCUCCGAGGAACCUUAAGAGCUGAAGAAGAACCCUUUUAAGAACCUUCAUUUUAUUCAGUGUACUGUAGAGUAAGCACUUGACUAGAGUAUACAUACUGUAGUAGAUAAUGGCCAUAAUAUUAGUUGUUUUAUGUAAUGUUUCAUCAGUUUGGUUUUUUAAUUAAGACCUUCCUGCUUUGGUUUUGGUAUUGUAUUGGCUUUCUUUUGAAUCAGUUGUAUCAGAUUGUGUUCUAACAGAUAUUGGGUAAAAAAUACUAUAUAAUAUAAUUGUCACACCCUAAUCUGUUUCACCUGUCCUUGUGAUUGUCUCUACCUCCUCCAGGUGUUGCUGAUUUCCCCCAUUUGUAUUUAUCCCUUGUUUCCUGUCUCUCUGUGCCAGUUUGUCUUGUCUGUUUUUCCAAGUCAACUAGCGGUUUUCUCGGUCACCUGCUUUUUGCUAUUCUCCUUUCUCUAGUCCUCCCGGUUUUGACCCUUGCCUGUUUCUGGACUCUGUACCCACCUGCCUGACCAUUCUGCCUGUCUUGACCACGAGCCUGUCUGCCACUCUGUACCUCCUGGACUCUGAUCUGGUUUUGACCUUUUGCCUGUCCACGACCAUUCUCUUGCCUACUCCUUUGGAUUAAUAAACAUUGUAAGUCUCCAAC